This 1179-nucleotide ribosomal RNA is filed under the name marine metagenome. RNAcentral's name for it is "SSU rRNA". It matches the Rfam family "Eukaryotic small subunit ribosomal RNA", at positions 1 to 1182 of the family's 1831-position model. The record is from RNAcentral.
UCUGGUUGAUCCUGCCAGUAGUCAUAUGCUUGUCUCAAAGAUUAAGCCAUGCAUGUCUAAGUACGGCUCUAGUACGGUGAAACUGCGAAUGGCUCAUUAAAUCAGUUUUGGUUCAUUUGAUCGUAAAAGUUUACAUGGAUAACUGUUGUAAUUCAAGAGCUAAUACACGCUAAGGGCGGGAGUCUUUGAUUCUCGUGCUUUUAUCAGAUUAAAAACCAAUCGUCUUCGGGCGUGCGUUAUGGUGAGUCUGGAUAAUUUUAGCUGAUCGCAUGGUCUUGAACCGGCGAUGGAUCAUUCAAGUGUCUGACCUAUCAACUGUCGAUGGUAGCGUAUUGGUCUACCAUGGUUGUAACGGGUAACGGAGAAUUAGGGUUUGGUUCCGGAGAGGGAGCCUGAGAAACGGCUACCACAUCCAAGGAAGGCAGCAGGCGCGCAAAUUACCCAUUCCCGACACGGGGAGGUAGUGACGAAAAAUAACAAUUCAAGACUCGAAACGAGGCCUUGAAGUUGGAAUGAGUACACUUUAAAAUUUUUAACGAGUAUCUAUUGGAGGGCAAGUCUGGUGCCAGCAGCCGCGGUAAUUCCAGCUCCAAUAGCGUAUACUAAAGUUGUUGCGGUUAAAAAGCUCGUAGUUGGAUCUUGGAAUGUGAAUGCGCGGUCGCUUGAAAGAGUGAACUGCGUGGCGCAUUCUUCUAUUUGGUUGCGCGUGUUCGUGCUCUUAACUGAGUGCAACACUCGACCAGAAAUUUUACCUUGAAAAAAUUAGAGUGUUCAAAGCAGACCUGAUUGUGUCUGAAUAUUCGUGCAUGGAAUAAUAAAAUAUGAAUUCGGUUCUAUUUUAUUGGUUUUCGGAACUCGAGUUAAUGAUUAAGAGGGACGGACGGGGGCAUCCGUACUCUGCCGUUAGAGGUGAAAUUCUUGGAUCGGCGGAAGACGCACAACUGCGAAAGCAUUUGCCAAGAAUGUUUUCUUUAAUCAAGAACGAUAGUCGGAGGUUCGAAGACGAUCAGAUACCGUCCUAGUUUCGACUGUAAACUAUGCCAGCUAACGAUCAGACAGCGUUCUCUACGACUUGUCUGGCAGUUUCCGGGAAACCAAAGCUUUUGGGUUCCGGGGGAAGUAUGGUUGCAAAGCUGAAACUUAAAGGAAUUGACGGAAGGGCACCACCAGGAGUGGAGC